This 429-nucleotide ribosomal RNA is filed under the name Actinomycetes bacterium. Its description in RNAcentral is "Actinobacteria bacterium partial 16S ribosomal RNA". It matches the Rfam family "Bacterial small subunit ribosomal RNA", at positions 355 to 776 of the family's 1533-position model. The record is from RNAcentral. Lineage: Bacteria; Bacillati; Actinomycetota; Actinomycetes.
UAGGGAAUCUUCCGCAAUGGGCGAAAGCCUGACGGAGCAACGCCGCGUGAGUGAUGAAGGUCUUCGGAUCGUAAAACUCUGUUAUUAGGGAAGAACAAAUGUGUAAGUAACUAUGCACGUCUUGACGGUACCUAAUCAGAAAGCCACGGCUAACUACGUGCCAGCAGCCGCGGUAAUACGUAGGUGGCAAGCGUUAUCCGGAAUUAUUGGGCGUAAAGCGCGCGUAGGCGGUUUUUUAAGUCUGAUGUGAAAGCCCACGGCUCAACCGUGGAAGGUCAUUGGAAACUGGAAAGCUUGAGUGCAGAAGAGGAAAGUGGAAUUCCAUGUGUAGCGGUGAAAUGCGCAGAGAUAUGGAGGAACACCAGUGGCGAAGGCGACUUUCUGGUCUGUAACUGACGCUGAUGUGCGAAAGCGUGGGGAUCAAACAGG